GCUGGCAGCUAGGUCUCUGCAACUCUAACAUGGUCACCAAUUGAAGCUAAGCAGAGCUGUGCCUGGUCAGUAGCCGGAUGGGAGACCACAUGGAAAAACUACUGUAGGUUGCUGCUGGAA
RNAcentral lists this ribosomal RNA (120 nucleotides) under Danio rerio (zebrafish). The record is from RNAcentral. Lineage: Eukaryota; Metazoa; Chordata; Actinopteri; Cypriniformes; Danionidae.